GGAGGGGUGCGUGAGCGGUUGAAACGGACAGUCUCGAAAACUGUUAGGCGGCAACCCCGCCUCCGGGGUUCGAAUCCCCGCCCCUCCGCCA
This 91-nucleotide transfer RNA is filed under the name Elusimicrobiota bacterium. RNAcentral's name for it is "Elusimicrobia bacterium (groundwater metagenome) tRNA-Ser". It matches the Rfam family "tRNA". Rfam says of the family: Transfer RNA (tRNA) molecules are approximately 80 nucleotides in length. Their secondary structure includes four short double-helical elements and three loops (D, anti-codon, and T loops). The record is from RNAcentral. Lineage: Bacteria; Pseudomonadati; Elusimicrobiota.